RNAcentral lists this ribosomal RNA (500 nucleotides) under uncultured bacterium. RNAcentral's name for it is "partial 16S ribosomal RNA". It matches the Rfam family "Bacterial small subunit ribosomal RNA", at positions 30 to 523 of the family's 1533-position model. The record is from RNAcentral.
AUUGAACGCUGGCGGAAUGCUUUACACAUGCAAGUCGAACGGCAGCACGGACUUCGGUCUGGUGGCGAGUGGCGAACGGGUGAGUAAUAUAUCGGAACGUAUCCAAUAAUGGGGGAUAACUAGCCGAAAGGUUGGCUAAUACCGCAUACGCCCUACGGGGGAAAGCUGGGGAUCGCAAGACCUGGCGUUAAUGGAGCGGCCGAUAUCUGAUUAGCUAGUUGGUGGGGUAAAGGCCCACCAAGGCGACGAUCAGUAGCUGGUCUGAGAGGACGACCAGCCACACGGGAACUGAGACACGGUCCAGACUCCUACGGGAGGCAGCAGUGGGGAAUUUUGGACAAUGGGCGCAAGCCUGAUCCAGCCAUUCCGCGUGAGUGAAGAAGGCCUUCGGGUUGUAAAGCUCUUUCGCAAGGGAAGAAAACUUAUCCUCUAACAUAGGAUGAGGUUGACGGUACCUUGAUAAGAAGCACCGGCUAACUACGUGCCAGCAGCCGCCGUAA